CGGCGGACGGGUGAGUAACGCGUGGGUAACCUGCCUCAUACAGGGGGAUAACAGUUAGAAAUGACUGCUAAUACCGCAUAAGACCACAGCACCGCAUGGUGCAGGGGUAAAAACUCCGGUGGUAUGAGAUGGACCCGCGUCUGAUUAGCUAGUUGGUAAGGUAACGGCUUACCAAGGCGACGAUCAGUAGCCGACCUGAGAGGGUGACCGGCCACAUUGGGACUGAGACACGGCCCAG
This 238-nucleotide ribosomal RNA is filed under the name uncultured bacterium. RNAcentral's name for it is "partial 16S ribosomal RNA". It matches the Rfam family "Bacterial small subunit ribosomal RNA", at positions 96 to 334 of the family's 1533-position model. The record is from RNAcentral.